AAAGAAAAAUGAAGAAGAUAAAGAGGAGGACCAAGAACUAUGAUGAAGAUUGGUCCCAAAUGGUGAAUAAUGUUGAAGCACUAUGUAAAGAGGAAGAUCAGGGAUUUACUAUCGUCUAUGAAACAUAUAGUCUAGUUUAUGCUUAAUAUUUAAGCAAUCAAUUUAGUCUCCUUUUGGCAUUUUCUUCUUCAAUUUCCACUUUGUGUUGUCGACUUUUCCUUUCGAAUUGAGCUUUGUGAUAAUUGCAGAAUUGAGCUUGUGCCAUUGCUAUAUGUCUUGAGGAAUAAAGUUUUUUUCUGUUAUUGACUAUUUGUUUAGUUUGAAACAAAUAAUUUUUACAGAAAAACCUUAUCAAUUCCACAACGAUCAUCAGCUCAUCAGGGGGUGAAGACAUUGAGAAAAGGGUUUGAUGCUUAUUUUUUGCCUUGAGAAAACAUGCUUUAACUGUUUAACAUUUUGGAACAAACUUUUUUAAGAAAAGGGUCAACUAAUUUUCACAUACAGUGUGGUUUUGCAAAUGAUUAUUGUGAGAUAUAUUAGCAUUAUAUUGGAACCCUACAGCUAAACUUGACCAAUUGAGGGUAGAGUUAGAGAGCAGAGAGUUGUUCUGUGCAGAGAAUGGCGACUGAGGUCCACUAGAAAGAGAUGACAAAUUGAAAUAAUUUUUUUGAGAACCUGGUGGAGGGAAACAAGUGAAUGAUGACUUGGGGG
Molecule: long non-coding RNA, 711 nt
Filed under: Salvia miltiorrhiza (redroot sage)
Lineage: Eukaryota; Viridiplantae; Streptophyta; Magnoliopsida; Lamiales; Lamiaceae
Description: long non-coding RNA (SMIL_LNC012596)
Source: RNAcentral